GUAAUUAUAAAAGGAGUGGCCUAAGAUCAAGUGUACUACUGUUCCUAUCAGUUUAAUAUCUGAUAUAUGAGCCAUUGGCUCACAUGAUACCAAAUUAAUUUUUUUAGGGAAAGGGCCCACCACAGUAGCUUGCUGCAUGGGACGACUCUUGCGUCUCGUUGGCUUUGCACUACAGUCGCAGCCUGGCUUAGCCCAC
Camellia sinensis is the source of this 196-nucleotide non-coding RNA. Lineage: Eukaryota; Viridiplantae; Streptophyta; Magnoliopsida; Ericales; Theaceae. The record is from RefSeq and is a predicted model, not a curated record.